This 458-nucleotide ribosomal RNA is filed under the name Periclimenes colesi. RNAcentral's name for it is "partial large subunit ribosomal RNA". It matches the Rfam family "Bacterial large subunit ribosomal RNA", at positions 1928 to 2597 of the family's 2925-position model. The record is from RNAcentral. Lineage: Eukaryota; Metazoa; Arthropoda; Malacostraca; Decapoda; Palaemonidae.
GGGCCGCGGUAAUUUAACCGUGAGAAGGUAGCAUAAGCAUUUGACUUUUGAUUGGAGGCUUGUAUGAAUGGUUGGAUGAGAAAUAAUCUGUCUUUUUUUGUUUANUGAAUUUAACUUUUAAGUGAAAAGGCUUAAAUUUUCUGGUGGGACGAUAAGACCCUAUAAAAUUUUAUAUCUAUUUACUUUAUUAUUAAAAUUUAAAUUGAAGUGGGAUUUUUUAAGUGGAUAUUUUGUUGGGGCGACAAUGAUAUAAUUCUAACUGUCAUUUAAAAGUUAAUAGUUAUUGCUAGUUUCUGAUCCUGUAUUACUGAUUAAAAGAUUAAAUUACUUUAGGGAUAACAGCGUGAUUUUCUUUGAGAGUUCUUAUCGACAAGAGUAGUUGCGACCUCGAUGUUGAAUUAAGAUGUUAGUCAGGUGUAGCAGCUUGUCUGGUGGGUCUGUUCGACCUUUAAAAUUUU